GCCAUGGCGAUCCCAGCUGCCUCUCCCUGGUUGAUUAAUGAGCUGGGCGAACCUCUCUGCACCGUGGUGGCUCCGCCCCCUUACUCCUACGACCCCAACGGAAGCGAUUUUCCCAGAGACUGCAGAGUCCUCCAGUAUUACUUCAACCUGGGAGUCCAGUGGUACCAUCAGAGCUGCUGGCAGCAGC
Plectropomus leopardus (leopard coralgrouper) is the source of this 187-nucleotide non-coding RNA. NCBI's taxonomy places the organism in Eukaryota, Metazoa, Chordata, Actinopteri, Perciformes, Serranidae. The record is from RefSeq and is a predicted model, not a curated record.